RNAcentral lists this transfer RNA (58 nucleotides) under Mesocricetus auratus (golden hamster). It matches the Rfam family "tRNA", at positions 8 to 63 of the family's 71-position model. Rfam says of the family: Transfer RNA (tRNA) molecules are approximately 80 nucleotides in length. Their secondary structure includes four short double-helical elements and three loops (D, anti-codon, and T loops). Further hydrogen bonds mediate the characteristic L-shaped molecular structure. tRNAs have two regions of fundamental functional importance: the anti-codon, which is responsible for specific mRNA codon recognition, and the 3' end, to which the tRNAs corresponding amino acid is attached (by aminoacyl-tRNA synthetases). tRNAs cope with the degeneracy of the genetic code in two manners: having more than one tRNA (with a specific anti-codon) for a particular amino acid; and 'wobble' base-pairing, i.e. permitting non-standard base-pairing at the 3rd anti-codon position. The record is from Rfam by way of RNAcentral. Lineage: Eukaryota; Metazoa; Chordata; Mammalia; Rodentia; Cricetidae.
UAGCUCAGUCAGUAGAGCCUGAGACUCUUAAUCUCAGAGUCAUGGGUUAAAGCCCCAC